Molecule: long non-coding RNA, 2765 nt
Organism: Malaclemys terrapin pileata
Lineage: Eukaryota; Metazoa; Chordata; Testudines; Emydidae
Exons: 3
Source: RefSeq, a predicted model, not a curated record
CGCUAUGCCAGUCCUUUAGCUCCCAGGGCAGGGGGCAGCUGUGUUGAUCCCAGGGCAGGGAGCCUGCCUGGAUGGAGAGGAUCAGGGAUCCGGGACCAUCGCCAGCUCCAGUGGGCUGUUUGUUCUGAUGUGGCCUCAGACCUGAGAUCAAUGGAGCAUCUGUGAAGACCUUAGCCAAGCCAGUCACCAGGAUAUGGACCCCUACCAGCUGAUGCCCCGAGGGAGCUGGAUUUCCCUGCGUCUGCUUAAGGAAGCUGAGCGAGGAUCCCCCACUUGAGCGCAAAGGACGGAGGGGACGAGACCUGGCUGCUGGAAGGAGUUGGGGUCUCACCUGGGGUCUAGCCAGGCCGAGUCAGAGCCAGAACAUGGGUUCACGGCAGCUUAGUCGGGCUCUGGGCUGAACAGGAGGGUCUGGGCUUUCACUGUUCUCUGCCCCCCUGGGGGUUUCCUGGGCAGUGCUGGGUGACUGAUAAACUGCCAACGCCGUGUGUCGCGAGGGGCGUUAAUCCUGCAGAGGGGCCAGGUCUCACCCGGGGCCUGCACUUGCUGCAGGGAGCGCACGGGGGACAGCAGGCCCCGAGGUGCAGUCUGAGGAGUGAGACCCAGAGGGGCUCUGGCCCACGAAAAGGCUCCUCCUAGAGACUGUUCCGAAGCUGGGUCCAUCGCCCCGCACCGGUCCCUAAACAGCCCCGUCCUGCCGGGUCCUGGUGUCCGUGCUCAUGUCAAUGGGGAGUGAUAGCGCAGGCCGGGGCGAUGCCCCUCAAUCCUGACCCGCAGCCCACUGCUAGCCCAGCCCUUUGAGAGGUGGCUUGGCUAGGCCCGGUGGAGCUGCUGUUCCAGCUCCCGCCGUCCUGCUCUGCUGCUCCUUGGCGGCCCCAGUGUGGGAGGAGCAGCCCCUCAAACUGCUCGCUGGGUCUUUCCUGUAGAGUCGCUCUGCGGCCGCUGCCUCCAGCCGACCCACCGGGGCUGUGCCCGGGAGGUACCUGCAGGGACUGUCCAGCCAGUCAGCCUUUGCCCUGGCCACGGCCGGCGGCCCUUCACCUUCGGCUCCUGCCCUGGUGCGGCCCUUCAGGGCCCUCUGCUUGUUGGCCUGGCUCGGGGGGCCUCUGGCAGGGUCUCCUGGGCAACUGGCUCGGGUUUGGUGCCAGGGCGUGGUCACAGGGAGCUGCUACCCCACCUGCUUGGGAUCACAGCCCAGUGCUGCCCCUGCCUCAGGACCCUGCUCCCAGGAGAGUCCCCUACCCUGAGCUGGCUGCAUGGGGCCUGCUCCCAGGUGAAUGGGAAGUCUGGCCUGGUCUCCAGCCAGAAGUGCCAGCGGGGCUCCCCUCUGAGCUGGCAGCAGGGGUGGGAGCCUGGGGCGAUCCGUGGGUCUGAGUGGAUCGUGUCCCCUUGCCGGGAGCUUCCCAAGCCUGGCCUAGAGAAAGGGGUGGGGAAUAUGGCGGCAGUGCCCAGGCCAGGAGCGGCCGCGUGGGCAUGCUGGGCUCUGCAGGGCAUUGCUCACCUUGGUUCCAGAUGGGGCAUUACCUCUCGUGGGGCACCCUGUGCGCUGGGACCAGCUGAGGGUGGACGCCAGGAAUCCUGGCUCCCUGCCCCAAGCCCCGUGGCUGCAGCAGGGCCUUUCCUGGAGUGACAAGGCUGCCCCCAACCUGGCCUCAGAGCUUGGGGCAGGGACCCUCCCCUCUGCCUGGCAGCACCCUGCCUGGCAGCACCCUGCACUGGCUCACUGCACGGGUGGAACAAGAUGCCCUCUGGGGGCCAGGCUGCCCAAGGGAGUUAGGGGCCUAAAGGCACAGACAGGCAGCAAGGGUGAUUUUUCGAAUGUGCCUGGCAUUCUCUGUAUCUUGGGGGUCUAAUUCCCUUGGACAAUCCAGCUGGGACUUUCAGGCUCUUUCUGUCUCCAGAAUAACACAGCACUCUGCUCUCUCCAUCCCACCUCUGUGCACCCCACCCCCCCUGCUAGGCUUUGCAUCUCCCCACAAUCCCCACCUGACCAGGAGGAAGGGUGGAAGCUGCAGGGAGCUAGUCCGGGCAGGGCCAGCCUGGGGUGGGGCAGGGGGUUGGGACCAUUGCCUUUGCUCCUGUGGGAUCAGCCCGGGAAGGGGCCUCUUGCCCUGGGGUUGCAGGACCUGUGAUGGAGGUUGUGGGGAGCUGGGUUGGCAGCUGGCACGUGACAAGAGGGUCUGGGUGCAGGGAUCUGCCGGCCCCAGAACAGGAUUAACUCCGGCCCUGCCCUCCAGAGGGGACUGGGGGCAGAGAGAUGUGAGCAGCUUGACCAGCCUGUGCUCGUGUGACGAACUGGGACAGUUCUUAAUGAGGUCUUUGAAUGCUGGGUGGGGAUUGGGGGGAGAUGCAAAGCCUAGUGGGGGUGGGGGGGGCGCACAGGGGGUGGGAUGGAGAGAGCGGAGUGCUGUUUUAUUCUGGCUGGGCCUGUCUGCAUUGGGGGAUGGGAGACUGGCCUUGAGGGAAGAUACCUGAGCAUGUAACGUGAGAACCCAGGAAGGGGGUUGGAGCCAGGUGACACCUCUGCCCUGGAAACUGGACAAAGGCUGGGGAGGAGGAGGGGUGAGAGAGGCUGGAGGGAGUUGAGGUUGGUCAGGAGCUGGCUGGUAAUGGAGGAGAGCCCAGAUGGGGCUCUGACCCCCCCCCAACGGGGCUGGGGUGCUCUGGGACCCCAAGAUGGACCUAAGUGAGGGGGUCCAGUUGUCUGUGCCUGCAAGACCUGUCUUGGACUGUGUUCCUGUCGUCUAAAUAAACCUUCUGCUUUA